Bufo gargarizans (Asiatic toad) is the source of this 1061-nucleotide long non-coding RNA. RefSeq lists it as uncharacterized. The record is from RefSeq and is a predicted model, not a curated record. Lineage: Eukaryota; Metazoa; Chordata; Amphibia; Anura; Bufonidae. The transcript is spliced from 2 exons.
GACAGAUGUGAGGGGUGAUGACCAGUGUGAGGAGGACAUUCCUACAGAUAGGAGCCCAGAAGACUGUACUGGGAGCUCGGAGGGACAAUUGAUAUCUACAGAUUAUAAUGCAUAUGAUCCGGGUGUCACAUCAGAUACGUAUGAAGAUUGUGCCAUUAUCCCAGAUGUACCAUCCACCCUUCACAGCAAAACUGCUGUCAUCUGACCCUUUAAAACAAAUCCGAUCUUCUGAUUCAUCACAGACCGUUAACCAGAAUGCAAGCCACAAAAGGGGUGUGGGAGCCCAAAGAGCUCAGAAAGGGAAAGAAGUCAUAUCCAUGUUCAGAAUGUGGGAAAUGUUUUACUCAGAAAUCAGAACUUGAGAGGCAUCAGAGAGUUCACACGGGAGAGAAGCCGUAUUCAUGUUCAGAAUGUGGGAAAUGUUUUACUCAGAAAUCACAUUUCAUAAACCAUCAGAUAAUUCACACAGGGGUGAAGCCAUAUUCAUGUUCAGAAUGUGGUAAAUGUUUUACUAAGAAAUCAAAUCUUCAGAGUCAUCAGAGAAUUCACACAUGGGGUGAAGCCAUAUUCAUGUUCAGAAUGUGGGAAAUGUUUUAUUCAGAAAUCAUCUCUUAAGACCCAUCAGAGAAUUCACACAGGUGAGAAGCAAUAUAUUUGUUCAGAAUGUGAAGAGUGUUUUGCUAGAAAAUCCGCUCUUCUUUUACAUCAUAGACGUUACACAGGGGAGAAGCCGUAUUCAUGUUCGGAAUGUGGGAAAUGGUUUACUCAUAAAUCAUAUCUUAUUAAACAUCAGAGAAUUCACACAGGGGAGAAGGCAUAUUUAUGUUCAGAAUGUGGGAAAUGUUUUACUAAGAAAUCAUAUCUUCAGAGUCAUCAGAGAAUUCACACAGGAGAGAAGCCGUAUUCAUGUUCAGAAUGUGGGAAAUGUUUUACUCAGAAAUCCCAUCUUGCGAGACAUCAGCAAAUUUGCACAAAGAAGAAGCCGUAUUCAUGUUAAGGAUGUGACUGAUAUUUCGUUAGUAAAUCUGAUCUUCAACAUUAAAGAUGUCACAUGGGAAAAA